UCCCUCCUAGCUCAGUCGGUAAAGAAUCUGCCUGCAAUGCAGGAAACCAGGGUUCGAUUCCUGGGUUGGGAA
This 72-nucleotide transfer RNA is filed under the name Ovis aries (sheep). It matches the Rfam family "tRNA". From Rfam's summary of the family: Transfer RNA (tRNA) molecules are approximately 80 nucleotides in length. Their secondary structure includes four short double-helical elements and three loops (D, anti-codon, and T loops). The record is from Rfam by way of RNAcentral. Lineage: Eukaryota; Metazoa; Chordata; Mammalia; Artiodactyla; Bovidae.